RNAcentral lists this ribosomal RNA (2226 nucleotides) under Actinomycetales bacterium SN12. Its description in RNAcentral is "bacterial LSU rRNA". It matches the Rfam family "Bacterial large subunit ribosomal RNA", at positions 1 to 2046 of the family's 2925-position model. Lineage: Bacteria; Bacillati; Actinomycetota; Actinomycetes; Actinomycetales. The record is from RNAcentral.
UUCAAGUCUUUAAGAGCAAACGGUGGAUGCCUUGGCAUCUGGAGCCGAAGAAGGACGUAGCAAUCUGCGAUAAGCCUCGGGGAACUGAUAAGCAAGUUUUGAUCCGAGGGUGUCCGAAUGGGGAAACCCCGCCAGGCGUUUGUGCGACCUGGUGACUCCCGCCUGAAUAUAUAGGGCGGGUAGAGGGAACGUGGGGAAGUGAAACAUCUCAGUACCCACAGGAAGAGAAAACAACAGUGAUUCCGUGAGUAGUGGCGAGCGAAAGCGGAUGAGGCUAAACCGGGUGUGUGUGAUAGCCGGCAGGCGUUGCAUGCCCGGGGUUGCGGGACUUUUCUUAUCAUUCUGCCGAGUGGUGAACGUGAUGUGACGAUAUAGACGAACCGUCUUGAAAGGCGGGCCAUAGUGGGUGCCAGCCCCGUAGUCGAAAUGUUGUGUGCAGCGUGAAGAGUAUCCCAAGUAGCACGGGGCCCGAGAAAUCCCGUGUGAAUCUGUCAGGACCACCUGAUAAGCCUAAAUACUCCCAGAUGACCGAUAGCGGACAAGUACCGUGAGGGAAAGGUGAAAAGUACCCCGGGAGGGGAGUGAAAUAGUACCUGAAACCGUUUGCUUACAAACCGUUGGAGCCUCCUUAGUAGGGGUGACAGCGUGCCUUUUGAAGAAUGAGCCUGCGAGUUAGUGAUAUGUGGCGAGGUUAACCCGUGUGGGGUAGCCGUAGCGAAAGCGAGUCUGAAUAGGGCGUUUUCAGUCGCAUGUUCUAGACCCGAAGCGAAGUGAUCUAUCCAUGGCCAGGUUGAAGCACGUGUAAGAGCGUGUGGAGGACCGAACCCACUUAGGUUGAAAACUGAGGGGAUGAGCUGUGGAUAGGGGUGAAAGGCCAAUCAAACUUCGUGAUAGCUGGUUCUCUCCGAAAUGCAUUUAGGUGCAGCGUUGCGUGUUUCUUGCCGGAGGUAGAGCUACUGGAUGGCCGAUGGGCCUCACCAGGUUACUGACGUCAGCCAAACUCCGAAUGCCGGUAAGUGAGAGCGCAGCAGUGAGACUGUGGGGGAUAAGCUUCAUAGUCGAGAGGGAAACAACCCAGACCACCAUCUAAGGUCCCAAAGCGCGUGCUAAGUGGAAAAGGAUGUGGAGUUGCUUAGACAACCAGGAGGUUGGCUUAGAAGCAGCCACCCUUGAAAGAGUGCGUAAUAGCUCACUGGUCAAGUGAUUCCGCGCCGACAAUGUAACGGGGCUCAAGCACGCCACCGAAGUUGUGGCAUUGACAUUUUUGGUAGGCCUUCGUGGUCCAGCCGUGUUGAUGGGUAGGAGAGCGUCGUGUGGCGAGUGAAGCGGCGGUGUAAACCAGCCGUGGACGCCACACGAGUGAGAAUGCAGGCAUGAGUAGCGAAAGACGUGUGAGAAACACGUCCUCCGGAAGACCAAGGGUUCCAGGGUCAAGCUAAUCUUCCCUGGGUAAGUCGGGACCUAAGGCGAGGCCGACAGGCGUAGUCGAUGGACAACGGGUUGAUAUUCCCGUACCGGCGAAGAACCGCCCCAGUCAAUCCAGUAAUGCUAAGUGUCCAAAGCCAUCCAUCGAACCCUUCGGGGUUCACCGGGUGGUGGAGCACACGACCCUAUGCUGGUGCGGCUAGCGUAUUAACAGGUGUGACGCAGGAAGGUAGCCCAGCCAGGCGAUGGUUGUCCUGGUGCAAGUGCGUAGGCCGAGUCAUAGGCAAAUCCGUGACUCAUACAGGCUGAGACACGAUGCGAAUAAAAAGUGGGUGAUCCUAUGCUGCCAAGAAAAGCAUCGACGCGAGGUUCAAGCCGCCCGUACCCCAAACCGACUCAGGUGGUCAGGUAGAGAAUACCAAGGAGAUCGAGAGAAUCGUGGUUAAGGAACUCGGCAAAAUGCCCCCGUAACUUCGGGAGAAGGGGGGCCACCCGCUUAUACGGACUUGCUCCGAAAAGGGUGUGGUGGCCGCAGAGACUAGUGGGUAGCGACUGUUUACUAAAAACACAGGUCCGUGCGAAGACGCAAGUCGAUGUAUACGGACUGACGCCUGCCCGGUGCUGGAAGGUUAAGAGGACCGGUUAGCCGCAAGGCGAAGCUGAGAAUUUAAGCCCCAGUAAACGGCGGUGGUAACUAUAACCAUCCUAAGGUAGCGAAAUUCCUUGUCGGGUAAGUUCCGACCUGCACGAAUGGCGUAACGACUUCCCAACUGUCUCAACCGCGAACUCGGCGAAAUUGCA